UACGUAGGGUGCAAGCGUUGUCCGGAAUUAUUGGGCGUAAAGAGCUCGUAGGCGGUCUGUCGCGUCUGCUGUGAAAACUCAGGGCUUAACCCUGAGCUUGCAGUGGGUACGGGCAGACUAGAGUGCGGUAGGGGAGCGGGGAAUUCCUGGUGUAGCGGUGAAAUGCGCAGAUAUCAGGAGGAACACCAGUGGCGAAGGCGCCGCUCUGGGCCGUGACUGACGCUGAGGAGCGAAAGCGUGGGUAGCAAACAGG
Molecule: ribosomal RNA, 253 nt
Filed under: uncultured bacterium
Lineage: Bacteria
Description: partial 16S ribosomal RNA
Rfam family: Bacterial small subunit ribosomal RNA
Source: RNAcentral